RNAcentral lists this transfer RNA (65 nucleotides) under Hydroporus obsoletus. RNAcentral describes it as "tRNA-Leu". Lineage: Eukaryota; Metazoa; Arthropoda; Insecta; Coleoptera; Dytiscidae. The record is from RNAcentral.
UCUAAUGUGGCAGAUUAGUGCAAUGAAUUUAAGCUUCAAAUAUAAAGAUUUACCUUUUAUUAGAA